AAUAUAAUAUAAAUCUCUGGCAAGAGAUUUAGCUGGUUAUUUAUAAUGAUUCAUUGGGGAGACUAGGCAUGUAAAUCUGGGAGAUUUCAACAUGCUCAUCUCACAAUAGAAUCAUGGGGGAUUGUGUAGAUAGAAACCACUCCCUAAAUUUGUCUUACCCGCAUCCCACUUUUUGUGUGUACUUUGUGUGAUGGAGGAGGGGGACAAGAGUAAAAAGGUGUGGUGUGUGAGGGAAGCUCUCUCUCUCUCUCUCUCUCUCUCUUUCUCUUUCUCGGUCUCUCUCUGUCUCUUUCUUUCUCUCUCAUAGUUGGUGUGGCAGUGGAAGAUGGUCUUGAGCAGGAACUCUGGUGACUGCUGUGCACUCGAGGGCUUGUGUGGGGUUUGGCAGCUUCAGAUUUGGGCUUCCUGACUCAAUUCAGGGUAUUAUUUUAGAUAGAUGAUAUUUUCUGUUCCUUUCCUACAUUUCCCUUUUUUUCUAUAUCUCCAUUUUUAUUAAAAACUUAAUUGUUGGGGGCAGCUGGGUAGCUCAGUGGAUUGAGAGCUAGGCCUAGAGAUGGGAGGUCCUAGGUUCAAAUCUGGCCUCAGCCACUUCCCAGCUGUGUGACCCUGGGCAAGUCACUUGACCCCCAUUGCCUAGCCCUUACCACUCUUCUGCCUUGGAGCCAAUACACAGUAUUGACUCCAAGAUGGAAGGUAAGGGUUUAAAAAAAAUAAAAAAACUUAAUUGUUAAGAGCUACUAACAGACUCCUCAGACUCCUGGCUUGAGAGUUAGUUUUAUAAAUGGCAACCACAAUUCUUUUUUAAUUAAUAUUACAUUUAAUAUACCUUUAUUUAUUACACCCUGUAAGUUCUUAAUGGCAUUUCUUCAUGCUAUGAUGAUAAUUGAAGAGUGAAAGGCCUUCCUUGGAUGCCAAAUUACCCCGCUGACUAAGUUUCAUACCAGUUCUGGGGCAGACACUUAAAUACUUAUAUAUCUUCAACCUCAGCUAGGAACUUCUGUUGCUAGAUGUAUAAAUCGGUUCCUAGGGGACAGAAGAUCUGUUUUAGUUAGUAGAGGGGGAAAAUCAGAGCUGUAGCCUGUAAAAAAGUGGGAAAAGUCUAUAGAAUAAAGGUGAGAGAGGCAAUGUGGCAUAGUAGAUAGAAUGUUGGAGUCAGUAAGACCUGGGUUCAAAUCCCACCUUAAACACUUCAGUGCUUUAUGAUCCCAGGAAAGUCAUUUUAGCUUCUCUAGCCUCAGUCUCCUUGUUUGAAGGGAAAAAAUAGAGGGGGUGAACUUAAUGACCUCUACAAUCCGUUUAAGCUCUAAAUCUUUGAUCUUUUAAGGGCAGUGGCAAGCAAAUACUGCAUAGAAUCUGGCUCCUUUUGGAACAAUUGACUUUUUUUCUGUAUUGGCAUCUUGGAAGAUGGUACAAUAGUAUAGGGAAUGCACAGUAUGACAAUAUUCACCAAAGUCAGAGGUGGCCCAGGAAUGAGAGGAAGAAUGAAGUUACAUUGCAGAUAUGCCACCAGUGUUUUACAUUGAGGCAUUCCCUCCUGUGCUAGAGAUAUCUCCUUGCAGAGGAUUAUUAGAUAAAAGUUUCUGGAGUAAAUAUAUGUUAUAAUUAAAAUCAAUAUAUCUACCAGUUAUUAUUUUUCAUAAAGUUUAUUAAUAGAAACAGUAGAUAAGCAUGGAGUUAAAGUCUCUGCCUUACUCUAAGUUCUCAGACCACGUGUUGCCUAUUCUCCAUGAAUCUUUCUUUCUUCCUCACCUCUCCCUUCCAGCCAGCCAGCCAUGCCAAAAAACUCAGGUAUGCUCUACCCCCUUUCUUUUAUUGACAUUCAGGAUGUUCAGGACAAACUGUGGUAUUUGAGGAAUGUUGACAGACAGGUUCAACUACUCAGAAGGGGAAGGGGAUAAGAUCCCCUCCCAUAUACAAGAAAUGGUCUAGAUUCCAGCAUAAGUAGCAUGGUAUAUUGAGUAAGCUCAAAAUAAAGUGAGAAAUAUUAAACAUAUUGCCAGCAUUCUCAAAACACCACAGUAGGAGAUUAAGGGGUAUUAGUGGGAGUGGGGGGAAUAAGCAGGAGCUGUGUCACUGCUGGUAUGCUGAUUAGCAGGAACCCUUCUUCACAGUAUGUAAGCCCAGCAGGACAUGCGAUUGAUUUCUGAAGCAUAUAUCUUAGUCGAGAAAAGGUCUUCAGUUCAUCCUACAAACAUGAUCACAAGGCAGGUGAUAAAACAUGCAAAAUAACAUAAAAAGAGAAGAAACAUUAACCAAAGUGAAAUCUUACCUAGUGGUAUAGCUAUGAAGAGGUAAGAGUCAGGUGAGAUCAUACUUCAAAUCUAGGGUCUAGAGACUACUGCUAAAACUAUAGUGAAUAAUGUUAACCUACUCAGUAAAGAUAAAAGUCUUUAGCUCUCCCUAAACAUGUUUCCUCCAGUCAGUUUUUAGGACUGAGGCAUGGUUAUGUUAAAAUUAAUUGUGGUUGGACUCUGAAUAGAUAAUAUAUGUGGUCACCAGAGAUUUAAUUUCUAAAAUCCCAAAUAUGAAUUACUAAAAUAAAUGGAAUUUAUGGUAAUUUAUUUACAAUAUUUAUAAUAGUAGGAAGAUAUUAAGGAAUGAGUGAGAGAAAGAGAAGAGAAGAGAGAGAGAGAGAGAAAGAGAGAGAGAGAGAGAGAGAGAGAGAGAGAGAGAGAGAGAGAGAGAGAGAGAGAGAGAGAGCGAGAGAGCACUCUGGUUUCCUCUGAUACCUGGAGGCUUCAUGCCUCCAGAAAGGCAAGGUCACUAAGUCAACUUUUCACUCAGUAUAGGUGACAGUCUUUAAGAAGUCUGGGUGUCUUCCUUCUGGUCGCACUCAAGGGUCUGCCUUCCAGUUGCUCCUCUGAGUCAAUCUCCAAGUGUCCGUCUUCCCUUCAGCUCCAAGUGACUGAUCCUUCACUCCAAGCCCAGAUGACUGACUGUCCUCUUCCCAGUCUUUCCAAGAUCUUUUUCUCUCGUGUCACCUCCUCUAAAUUUUCACAUCUACCAAUCACAGCAGACCCUUUUCUCCACGACUGCCCAUUCUUUAGUUCUCACCUUCUUUGCUUAGAUUUUAUCUUUUUGGGUUACUUAAAUCCUCUUUUGUUAAUUUCAACUUUGCAGUUACUUAACACCUUUUUAUGGUUAAUUCACCUUUUGUAUUUACUUAACACCUUUUUGUAGUUAAAAUCUAAAAAUAGAUUGUAGCUUACAAUUUAAGCUUCACUAUAAAGAAAGAGCUAAGUAUCUUCAUUGUUACAAUCAGGAGAUGGCUAAAUCCAAUCUUCACAGUUAUAAGGGGAAGACAGACUAUAAGUACCAUUUGGGGGUUUCCUUUCUUUGGACAUGGGGAAGGAGGUGGUGCUGUUUUAUAGAGAAGGAGGCUGAGAUGCCAGUAUCCCAAGUUGGAAAACUUUUUUUGCAUUAUGAUUCAUGGAACUGCAUCUGAUGGUGUCAGCAAUGAACUGUGGCAUUGGUGUCCAAUGCCACAUGAUGUAGAAUAGAUCUUUUCGUCAAGGUUGGAUGACAUUUUUCUGCUAAUGGAUCUUUGCAUAGAUAUACCUGAUCUCUCAGAUGAAGGUUGUGAUAUGGUGCUUCUAUACAGAGUAAGAUCAUCAAUACCUGUUGAUGAAUAGAUCUAAUAUAUUUUAUUUGUACCUUAAAAUAAUUCAGCACAAUUUUUCUUUAUCAGCUGGAAAUAUGAGUGAUAUGAGACAUUCUGAGGGCUACCUGACAUUUGCAUAGGUCAUAUCAUGAGAAUCUCAGAUCUUAGGUUAGAGUUACAGUGUUUCUAAUCUACAUGAGUUAUGGGAUGAUCAGGCCACUUGAGGGCAGUUUCUGUGCAAAUUUUGGCUAAGCACAUUUUUGUGUCUUACAGCUCCACUGGACUGUAGGUAGACUCACAGAGUAGUUAUUGUAUAUUAAAUAUCUUAUAGAUAUUUUUAAUGAGCUGACCUGUGAAAUGUGUGCCACUAUUAUCAGAGUAAAUGGCGAUUCAGAUCUGAAAGUGACCCUUAAGGAAUUUCUUGGCAACAUUAGUAUGUGUCAGUAAUUAGAACAUUUUCAUAGGAACCACACAUGGAUAACUGAAUGAAAGUUGGAAAAGAAUCCUAAUAAUGUGGUAUGGGGAGCAGAUGUGGUUUUUUCCCCCAUUGCCUAUUUUGAGUCACCUAAAUCAUGCAGAAGGCCUGUUAUUACGAAGGAAGGAAAAUGUGGAGUGACCCUAUUUUUUGGUACUGCUGUAAUCAUUCCUCACCUCCCAUACUCUUGGUUUAAGUGAUCUACAGAACAGAUCUGAAGAGCAGAGAAGCUUUCUCUGUGCCACAAAGCUCCUGGGUGAAAAAUUCCAGAGUCUUUAUGCAUAGAACUGUCUGUUGGCACAUGUGCCACCAGUCAUCCUUUUGGGAUUUUUUGAUCCCUGGCUAGUGAUCUGUUGAUAGACAAGAGAACAGAGUUAGGAGAUUAAGUGCCAGAAAGGGCCACAUGCUCCAAAAGGGAACACUAAAAUGUUUCCUCUAGUGACAACAGCUUAAGGCGAUGGCAUCAGCUUUACAUUUUACAACAGCAAUAGGAGAGGCACCUCUCCUAUAAGACAUAUCUUACCGCAUAACAGUGAUUAUGGACAUGGGCACUAGAUAAAGUUGAGAACACUCUUUGUUUCCUUAUUUAGCUAAAAGAAUAUUUAGAAUAAAUGUUAAUGAUCACAAUCUUUUUUCCUUUUUUUAAGUUUUAAAAAUUAUAUAUAUAUAUUUAAAAAACUCAAAUACAUAUUAUACAUUGUAUCAAUCCACAUUUAUUUUAAACCAAAAAUAUUAGCAGUUAGGUUUAUUAUUUCUAUAAUGGGGGGGAGAUGUUUGCUGUGGUGGAAUAUUUUGGCUUUAUUCUACAGACAUAGGUAGUUGGAUGCCUGUCCAUAUAUACUCAUAAUGCUAGAAAAGCACUAAAUGCUUUGUGUACACUAUAAUAUACAGUUAACUGAAAGCAUUCAAUUUGGAUUGAUGGACACAUUGUAAAGUCAACAUUUCUGUAAUGAAGAUUCCAUUAGUAGACAUCAGUAGUUCUGCUUUAUGAAAAAUGUUUAGACUGGAAAAAGAAGUACAUAUGCCCUUCCUUCAGUUUUUCCAUUUGCUUCAAUAAACUAUUCAUAUUCAUAUGAAACAUUCAGUAAUCUAGAUGUCCUCACAUUUGUGCAUCAAAUACUGUGUAAAAGUGAACAUAAAUCUGGCACACACUCCCCCCUGCCCCAGCCCCCCAACCCAACUGGUACAUUUCACUUUUUUCCUUUUUUUUAAGAACUAUAAUUAGACAGUGGUUGAGGGGACAUGACAAAGGAGAGACUCUAAAUGAACACUCUAAUGCAAAUAUUAUCAACAUAGCAAUGGUUUCAAAUCAAGAAAACAUGCAAUGCCCAGUGGAUUUAUGCGUUGGCUAUGGGUGGUGGGGGGGAGGAAAAGAAAAUGAUCUAUGUCUUUAAUGAAUAAUGCUUGGAAAUGAUCAAAUAAAAUAUAAAAAAAAUUAAAAAAAAAUUAAAAAAAGAACUAUAAUUAGGCAAGAGGGAGUAUAGCAAGUUUUAUACUUUGACAGAGUAAUCAUACAUUCUAAUAAAGUGCUGGAUGUUGACAGGGUAGCCUAUAUCCAAUUGUCCUUGAGUAUCCCUUGAAGGCAGGAGAUGCCUGCCACAAAGAGGAGGAGGUCAGAAUCCUACAGAAGAUAAUCCUUCAAGUCAAGUCUGAGAGUAAAUAGUUGGGCAGUACUGAAAAUAGUUAUAUGGCUCACUAUCAGAAGGUAUAGUAGACAGAGAAUCAAGAUUAAGUUGAGGGCAAUAUGUCAGGGUGAUAUUAGCUGUUUAUAGCAAAAAGCUUUUAUAUUUACUCUGGACUCGGAAAUAUGCUGACCAUGCCUUUUUAGAAGAAGGAACAUGAAUAUAUGAGGGGUGGUUACCAAUCAACCAUCCUGACAACAGGGCAAUAGCUAGAACAGAUACGAGAUGUGGAGGUAAAGCAGAUGACACAGAGUCCUAGAUGGAGCUGUAAUAAUAAGCAGUGGGAUGAUGGGUUUUGCCAGAAUCAGGACCCCCAGGGCAAUAGUUUCCUCAUGACAAAAUAAGUGGAUACACAGGUAAUGGUAGAGCUGGUUUCAGUUCUCACUUUCUUUGAAGGUUUACAAGUGGUGUCAUGAUUGUUGUCCUGUAGAGAUUUAUCUAAGUUUGUUUAUCUAAAACUCACCAUCUACAGCAGCCAAUUACAUCUCCAAAUCCUUGUAUCUGUCUUUGGGGUAAAUUUUAAAGAUGGCUUGAACCAUGUCAGUGGAGAGCAGUUUUUCCUCAGCUAAAAUAUCCAAAGCUGCCUAUAGCUUACUUUUAGAGGUUUUAUGUCUUCCAACAACUAAGUCAUUGAGUAGGGUUAGGAUAUUUAUGUGCUUCAAGGGUCAAGAAUAGAGUUACCAUGUAGAGCAGUGGUUCUCAACCUUUCUAAUGCCGUGACUCCGCAAUACAGUUCCUCAUGUUGCAGUGAUCCCAAACCAAACAAUUAUUUUGGUGGCUACUUCAAAAUUGUAAUUUUGCUACAGUUAUGAUUUGGAACGUAAAUGCCUGAUAUGCAUUAUGUAUUCUCAUUGCUACAAAUCAAACAUAAUUUAAACAUAGUGAUUAAUCACAAAAACAAUAUUUAAUUAUAUGUUGAGAAAUAUUAAUCCAGCAGGAGGCAGCCUGAGCACUGGGAUGGGAGGUAAGUUCUGCCUGGGGAUAGGAUCCGCAGAUGCUGCCGCCUUCUUCCUGUCGUCUCCCUCCAGCUCGAGCUGAGGCUUCACUUUGCUGGGGUUACUCAGCUCCAUUAUCCACUCCAGGAGUUAUCCGCUCCAGGACUUGUUCUUUUUUUUUUUUUAAUAUAUUUUAUUUGAUCAUUUCCAAGCAUUAUUCGUUAAAGACAUAGAUCAUUUUCUUUUCCUCCCCACCCCCCAUAGCCGACGCGUAAGUCCACUGGGCAUUAGAUGUUUUCUUGAUUUGAACCCAUUGCUUUGUUGAUAGUAUUUGCAUUAGAGUGUUCAUUUAGAGUCUAUCCUCUGUCAUGUCCCCUCAACCUCUGUAUUCAGGCAGUUGCUUUUUCUCGGUGUUUCCACUCCCAUAGUUUGUUCUUUGCUUAUGAAUGGUGUUUUUUUCUCCUGGAUCCCUGCAAAUUGUUCAGGGACAUUACACCGCCACUAAUGGAGAAGUCCAUUACGUUCGAUUAUACCACAGUGUAUUAGUCUCUGUGUACAAUGUUCUCCUGGUUCUGCUCCUCUCGCUCUGCAUCACUCCAGGACUCGUUCUUAACCCCUCCAGAGCCAGCGCCUGGGUGCUCUCUCUGGGUCUCUGUUUGAGUCCAGUCUCCAGGCAACAGGGUAAAUCCAUCACCCCUCAUAGAGGGAGGGCUGCUGAUAGGUUACUAAUAUUAGUGCAAUGUGUGGGCAGCAGGGUCCCCGUUCUUUUCGAAAUCUUGCUGUAAAGUAGCGCAAUUUCUCAGCGGCUAAAGCCAUCGGAAAUAUGUAUUUUCCGAUGGCUUUAGGCGACCCCUGUGUUUUGGUCAUUUGACCCCCCGCCAGGGUCAUGACCCACAGGUUGAGAACCACUGAUAUAGAGUAAAAGAAUAAUUCUUUUUUUUUGAGAGCUGGGGGAAAUGGUUAGAAAUUCACCAUAACCUUAAGAAGCCUUCAUAAAUUUCUCCUACUCAUCAAAGAACUUUUGAAUAAAAGUUGAAUCCCUGGGGACUGCAGAAAACUGCAAGGUUUCUCUAGUCAUAAUGAACCUCAUUAAUGGGUUAUUAAUUUAUAAGUCUGUAAUUCUUCCUGGAAUAUUUUUGAAUUUCUGUUUUGAAAACCUCAGGAUCAAAUUAUAAAGGUUGAGUGCUAGAAGGUAUGAGUAGUAUUGAAAUUGCCCUCAGAAGGGUUAAAAUUCUGGGCUGGGUGUGGAGUUAUAGAAGUAGAAAGGAAAAUUUGAGAAGUAUAGAAAUUGCUUCAGGGAGGGCAGCUAGAUAGCACAGUGGAUUGCGUGCCAGGCCUGAUGUUGAAAGGACAUUAGUUGAAAGACUAAUAAAACAUAAGUUGAAAGAACUUAGUUCAAGUUUGGCUUCGGGCCCUUCCUAGCUGUGUGAUCCUGGGCAAGUCACUUAACCCUAGUUGCCUGGCCCAUGUCACUCUUCUGUCUCAGAAUUGAUACUAAGACAGAAGAGGGAAAAAGGGGAAACAUGUUAUUUCAAGCCCUAGACAGAGGUGGGGGGACCCAAAAGAGGAAAAUGUAGAGGUUAGAGAGAAGGGAAUUGAGGAAGUAGAAGCUACAAAGAACCAGUAUUCCUUAUACUCAGCAGGGUAUUCUUAAUGACCUGGGGAGGUAUCUCAGAGUAGGAGAGUUAAACUAGCAGCAAUGUGAAAUGACUGCAUGAUUUUCAUGGAGUCAGCCAGAGGUAGGUACAUGUGGAUUGAGUUACUCAGCCUAGCAUUUCUUCCAACUUAUCUUUGGAUUUAUAUUUCUCUGGAGGAUUAGAAAUGAAGGCCUGUGAACAACCUGUGGGAAUAAUCAAUUUCCCUUUUACAUCUUUCAGUUGUGAUAUGUUUUCCUUGUGAGUAUUUGUGGCUCUAGGCCAUGGACUUAGUUUUGUAUUUAGAAGCUUCUGAAAUACCAUUUUAAAAAGUCAUCUCAUUGACUUUGACCUGAUUUAGAUCCAAGGAAUUGGAAAGGUUUGCAUAAAUAUGCCAAAUGAUCAAGAUCAAACGAUCCUUCCUCAAAGAACUGCUUUUAAGUUUCACCUCUGAUAUAAUAGUUCCACUUGUCCUGAAACUAAUUUGUUUGGAGAGAAUAAUAUUUAUAUAUAGAACUUUCUGGAAGUUUCUUAGAGAGAACUAGAACUGGCUUAUACUGACUCUAUCCUAUCUCAAUGACAUAGGCAGAUGAGAAAGGUUUACUGAAGGUGUCUACUGUUACUCCUUUCCCAGAUAACAAGCUGCCUCACACAGGAGAGGUUUGACCCAUGGGAAAUUCCCUCUAAUAUGGCUCUUUGCCCAGAGGGGGAAAAAACCUUAUGCUGACUGGAGUCUCUCUGUGUGUAUGCCACCUCAUAGAAGAGAGUGCAAGGGAAAUGUUUGCCAAAGUGAGUCAUCCUCCAGAAAGCCUUUGCCAAAAUACAUUGUUGCCAUAGUGACUAUUAGCUCAUAAAUCAAAGAUGCACUGGGGGACAUCUAUUGAAUAUAACAUGUAAAUCUAUAACAUUUCACCAACUAUGACUUCAACUCCUGAUUGUGACACUAUUAAAAGUUUUACAGUCUGGCUAGUUGACAAAGGCUCUGAGUUAUAACGUGUAGAAGUCCUUCCAAGCGCUUUACUGUGUAAUUAGAAUCUGCUUCCCAGGACUCCCAAUUCUCAGCAUCCCACUUUCCUUCUCACAUGACAUGCUGCUAUAGGGAGGAUAUAAGUUUUGUGUAGUCCCACCUCCCACUCUCUCUUCCUGUAAUCAUGGCUGCUGAAGUGGACUUUUUGGAGAGGCAGGAGAAAUUACUCAUGUGAAUUUACUUUUUGUUAGAUAAUUAGGUUUGAACUAAUAUUUCUUUUAGUUUAUUUUCUUUCUACUUCAAGUAAUUAUUAAUAAACUUUAUAAAUAUAAUACUUGGAGUUAUUAAUAUUAAUCGAAAUCUUACAUUAUGGUGACCAGAAGUCUGGAGUUUAGAACCUUACCUCCACUCUAAGUUUUGGAGCAGUUUUUAAAGACAGAUUAGUUUUAAAAGCCUCUGCCACUCUGCUGCUGCUGCUGCGCGUCAGUGGCUGCCUCCCACAUUUGACCAGAUACUGCUUAAGGGUCCUUGCCAUGCCUACCACCACUUCUCUUGAGCUCACUGGUUGGAGGUCUGUGUGAGCUGUUUUUUGUGUGGAGGGUGAGAUAUAAAUCCCUCUUUCCCUUGCAUUGAUAACUCCUGAGUGUUUGCUGCUACCUUGGAAGCCCAGGUGUUUCUUUUAGGCAACAAUUAACCCCCUAAAGGCUUUUAUAUGAGGAGACACUUCCAUCCUCUUAACACCUUGCCCAUGUGGCAGUGGAAGCAAGCAACUUCUUGGUGUUUUUACCUCUGGGGGGAGGGGAAGGAAGGUUAUGCUUCCAAACAUUUUAACUUUACUCCUAGCCAGUGCAUAAUAGGCUAGGGCCACCUACAGACAGGAAGUAAAUUUGCAACCAAUUUAAUAAGUAGAAUUGCAAGCAUGGCCCACUCUAUGGAAGAGCAGUACAUUACCAAAGUUUUAGGAUGUCUUUUCUUCCUACCAUUCCUAGGUGCACUUGUCCUUGCAAUAGCUUGAGUAAUCCUGAGAUUCAGGGGAGAGAUUCAUCUCCCUACACCCCUUUGCCAUUUUGGCCUGCUCUGUCUCUGCAACACAUCCAAUAUAGGGUUUGUCCACAUUAUGCCUAGUGAGAGUAUGGGAACUCCAGGAGUGUGACCAAAGGAAUCUAGAUGGAUGAUGAUUCUGGGAAGGGGAUGGAACCUUAAAGAGUCUGUAAAUAAAUUUUUGACUCCAUUGCUAACUGUUUCAGUUUGUUCCCUUCAAAUAGUGAAGAAGUCUCUGUAACACAGAUAUUGGAAUUGGAGAAAAGGACUCUUGAAUUCAGUGCCUGUAUCCUAUCACAUAUAUUGUACUUGAUGAUUGUUUGUUUUAAGAUUUAAUUUUGUUUUUUAAGUUCACAUAUUGAUCUAAUCUAUACUAUUCUGUUACACUAUGUCACUUUAAGUCACUGCAUUUUGACUAUUAAUUAUAUGUUCUGUUACAUUGUUUUUAUUUGUACCAUUCUGCUAUCUUUAUUUGUACUGUCCUAUACCUGGACUGGAGAUAAUACCAUUGUAAAAGUCCAUGGUCAAGUUGGGCAAACCCUUUCCAUGGCUUGGCCAUAAGUUCUUAUGGAUACUGAGUUUGUCACCAGAUCCAUCAAGGUCACAUAUUGCCUAUUCAUCCUAUUGUGCCUUUUUGCCUUUGUUAAUUGUCACAUAGAUGAUGAUGAAUGAACUCCAUCAAAUUGGUUACAACCUGUAUACAACCUUUGGAGAAUUUAAUGACCUACAAAUUUAAACUGAUUUUAAGAGGUCUUCAUAAAUGAUUUUUAGAUAUCUAGUAGCACCACUACCUCUGACUGAUCAUUUGCCCACUUUUGAGUUGUUUGUAAUAAGAAGUUAAGGGUCCAUUUAGUAGUUGAAGUGAAGUGCAAUAGCACUGUUGUAUUCCCCACCUCCACAUUCAUAAAAAUGUAAUAGAUGAGACAUAUAAAGACAUGCCUUUUGCAGCUGUUACAGUCUCAUCUGGGAGGUGGAAAUGUUUUCAUAGUGGGUGUGGUACCUCUAAAUGACUCCCAAGAGAAUUUCUAAUGGAGCCUAGUGGCUUCUGGAUGGUUUUUAUGUUUGUAACUCUUCAGAUUACUCCACCCUUCCACCAGAAUGAUUUAGAUUCUUGGUGAUGUUUUAGACCCAUAGACCAAAGUUUUCAUCAGCAGUACAGAGGUUUUUCUAGGCUCUCCUGCCAUAUUUUGGAAUGAUGGAAGUAACAGACUUUGUUAAAAUGUCUCAGCCAAGGUUGAUAGAUUGGCUAGAUCUGGAGAACUUGUGACAAGUAUCCAUGAGCUUCAAUGGCAUAAGAGAGAAUGAAAGAAAGCAGGGCUUUUGCAAAAGAGGCUAAGCAAGGGUUUGCAAAAGAAGGUCUGGUCACACGCACAGAACUGAAAGAGCUAUUCUAGAAUCUGGGGAAGUCUUAAAACUGGACAUCUGAGGCAGUUGGAGAUCCAUUGUUCCUGUCCUUCCAGGGAAGCAGAGAGGUAACUUCCUGUUGGGUGGUUCUGUCUAAGCUUGAGGGAGGUGACUUACCUAUUCCCUGAGAGCCAGAGGUUCCUGUGUCCAGCUAUCCAGAGAUUCCUGAUAUCCUUUCCAUCUCUAUCUCCAAUUUCCAUCUCCCUGUGUUCCUGUAAGCUCCUGUGUCCCUGAGAGUUUCCUAAAUGCUAUGUGAGAGAGAACUGCCAGUACCAAGUGAAACCUGUCAGUGAGAACAGCCCAAUUAUCUUGGCCUUUGGCCUUUGGCCUACAAGGUGAACUCUACAAGAGUUCAAGUUCUCUUAUCUUGACAAACUUUUAAACUUGUCUAUCAGUAUCUGAGGACCAGUUAGCUCAGAUUAGAUAGGUAGUGGGGUUUUUAUAGAGAGCCAGUAUAGAGAAAGUAUAAACAAAAGAUCUAUGAAGAUGGCUCUGUGAGGAGCCCUUAAAGGCAUUUGGGUGAAGAAUCUAGAUUUUUAACCUUAGUAACUCCUUUUCCCUAGUCCUCCUCCUUCCUCUUUUACUUGGAUAUAAAUAAACCCAAGUUACUGUUUUUUCCAAGUUGUCAAAGAGUCAGAUAGCAUUUUGGCCUACAAGUUGACUCUUAGGCCUACACAGGCCUGUAGAGCCUAUUCUCUGAGUGGUAUACCAGCAACAAGUCUAAAAACCCUUCCAUCUAUUUUAUCAACAUUUAUUUCAGUGGCUAUAGAGAUGCAUGUGAAUCCCAGUGAUGGCAGUUUGGUUUGCUGUUGUCAUUAAAUGGACUCUUAAGAUUUUGAGGAUUUUGGUACUUCUUGAAUGUACUUUAGCUGUACUACUGUUUUAUAAAGCUGCUACUUGGUAUAAACCAUUUUCAUUCACACUGUGGACCAUGGCCAAGUUUAAAAGGAAUGGAGGGGGCAGCUGGGUGGUUCAGUGAAUUGAGAGCUAGGCCCAGAGAUGGGAGGUCUCAUUUGGCCUCAGACACUUCCUAGCUAUGUGACCCUGAGCAAGUCACUUAACCCCCAUUGCCUAGCCCUCACCACUCUUCUACCUUAGAACCAAUACACAGUAUUGAUUCUAAGAUGGAAGGUAAGGGUUUAAAAAAAAAAGGAAAUGGAUCUCAUUUUGGGGUGAGAAACCUUUGUAUUGAGUCUCUCCUUGGCAAACACAGUGUGUCACUGAUUGUGAACUGUAUAUUUUUUAUUUUGAAAACAUUUUUUAUUGUUUUUCCUUGUAUAUGCACGAGUAUUUGAGUUUUUUCUCUUAUUUUUUGUACUUGAAGCACAUGUUAAAAGUAUUAAUAGUUUUUUGAUUUUGCACUAAUAUAAAUUUACAAUAUCCAUUAGCCCUAAUAUUAAUCCAUACCCAAAAGCUUUAUACUAUGGAAACCUACCAUUGAUUGUUAAAUAUUAUGGGACUUUGAUUAAUGAUUGUGUCUGAUUUCAGGAGAAAGGAUUACAUAAGAUCCAUUAUAUGGUGCCAAGAAGCACAAGGUCAAGGAGACCAACCAAUCCCAAUGGGAUUGAUGAGAAUCUGUGCCAAGAUAGGAUUUGUUUUGAUAUUUGAGGAAGCAGCUAUUUGACAACAUCACACGCAGGAUUUCUUUGUGCCAGGUUAAAACAAAGUACCUCAAUUUGGCUACAAUUUUGGCUCUCCUAUUCCUGUAAGUGAAGCUAAAUUUUGGAGUCAUUGCAUGCUUGCAAAAGGCAUCCUUCCCGAACCCAAAAGGGUAUCCUUCCAUGCCCAUAACAUUUUUGACACCCAACGUGUUUGGCUCUCCUGAAAGCUACGCCUGUACCCCGGAUCGUCCAUGAGGACACGGCUUCUCAGGGGCUGAAUCUCCUUUUGUGACCUGUCUGCCCAUCAGGGGAAGCAGUCGCUGGACAUCCCUCACAUCUCCAAGCAGGUUUCCAGCUACCUAGGACACAGGCAUUCACUGAGGACAUGUCCCCAAGACCCUGUGCCCACAGCCUUUCCUCCCCUGUUAUCUUCAACCCCUUUUACUUUAGCUCCUAACUACCUGACCAUAACUAUUUCUUUCCUUAAAUCUUGGGUCUUCUAUGUUUUAAAUCAUGCAUACCCAGCCAGCUGGACAUAUAAUUCUCUGAUUCAUCUCUCGAGUUGCUUCUAGGGUAAAAGCACUCAUGGGAGUCACCCAGAUGCCAGAUGCCACCAUAACCUUGGCAAACAUCCCAGCCUGAUGCUCUGGACAUGGCCUACAGUCAAUACCUCUCUCUCCUAAUGUUAGGCAGGGAGAUCUACGCCCAUCCUCAGCUCUGAAGAAGUUACAGAAGACAGAUCGCCAUCCUGUUUUCCCUUACAUAUUAGGAAAGGGGGGAGAUGACAUGGGCACCUGUACCCCAGAAACCCAGGCGAACUAUUGUCAAGGGAACUCCCUUGUUUUUUUCUGACUCUGAGACUAAAAACACCCAAUAACCCCACCUAGGGUCCUGAGAUGACUAUCUUCCUUUGAUCGUCCUCUAGAUGGUCUGAAAGAUGCACCCUCAGACCACACCUCGAUCCUAUCAGACAUCUGUUUGUCCCCUAAAACUAAGGAAUCUUUAUGUCCCCAGGCAGACCCCAAUAUGAUCACCCCACCUCAUGCCUGAGUGACUGUUGUGAAGAAUGUAUAAAAUCCCCAGAACUGAUGUCCUCUGGGGGACAGCCUCUCUAUCCAUGCUGUCCCCAUGGAGGAACAGCUUUUCCUUUCAAGCUGUCCUCCCAAGGAACUGUUCCUCAUCUUGCUGUUCUACCUUGCUAUCCUCCUGGCCACUCUCAACAUUACUUUCUAAAUUAAUAAAUCUCUUUUGUUUUUAAGCUAAAUUUUGGAGUCUUGCAUGCUUGCAAAAGGCAUCCUUCCCGAACCCAAAAGGGUAUCCUUCCAUGCCCAUAACACAACUAAUGCCCUUAGAAUACCAGAGGUGCUUCCCUCUCCUUCAUGAGCAAUCCUACAGUUUGGAGUACCUUUACUUCAAGAAGCUGUAUGGGAGCUAUGGCUCUAGGAUAAACAAGCAGCCCUGCACUAUGAAUGUGCAAGAUUCCUCCAGAAUUGGGCCUUCUGAUGUGAGAGUUGCAGUGGAGGGGACUUUGUUCCCUUGCACCACUUUGCCAUUGGCCCUAUCCAAAGCUCCUUUGCAGCAUCCUGGUUUUGCAGGGUCCAAAAUGACAGAUUCAGUUCACAGAGAUGAUUCUGACCAAGUUGCAAAAGCCCUCUGCCCAAGGUAAUCAUGGGCUGACAAAAAGAGCACUUAGUGGUAACAUAUCCCCGAAACCUUGUGGUCAUCAUAUUUAUGCUCCUUUUCUUCAAAAGAUUGUAAUCAAAUAAUGAGGGAAGAGAAAAAGGAUGGAAUGGAAAUAUUUGCGUAUUAUUGAUGUUACAUUAUCGAUGUUACAUAAAUCUACAUUUGUAGAUUUAGUUUGUAGAUAUCAAGGUUAAAUGGUUACUUGAUACACCUAAUAAGGAAUAGGGCCAGCAGGCCCUUCUAGGCUCAGAAUGCUAUCUGACUAUAAGACAAAGGUUUAGAAACAUUAAUGAUAGGGUUUAUUUUUAUUCAAAUGAAGGAGGACGAAGGAUUAGGAACAAAAGAAUCCCUAACUAUGAAUUUUGGAUAUUCCUCCCCCCUUUUCUAUGGGUUCUUCAAAGAAUUGUUUUCAAAGUCUUCUGGCUGCCUAUGUCUACACUCUUUGUUUAUAAAACCCAUAUAUAGCUACAUGAUCUACCUAGUCCUCACAAUAAUGUUUGGAUAAGUUUAUAGUUCAUCAGGGUAGUAGCUUUGAACUCUUGAUGAGUUCAACCCUCUUCAGCCUGGGCCCAAGAUGGCUUCAGUCCUUUCCCACAGACAGGUUUACUGACUUGCUGGCAGUUCUCUUCACAGACGUCAGGAAACACAUUUAGAACUCAGGUCCACAGUUGGAUGAUAAAUUAGGAGAUAAAGUUGAUAGGCUCUCACACCAGGAUACUAGGACAGCAGGAAUGGUAGCUUCAGCUCUACCAGUGUAAGAGAGAGAAAAUGAGAUCCAGCAAUGCAAAGGAACAGCUCAAACGGGGGAAGGACAAGAAGACUCAAGAUUUCAGAAAGGAACAGAGGAGCUGGGGGAAGUUGAAACUGCCAGAUUACUUCUUGUCAGCUCUCUUGGAAUCUUCUGGGUCUGAGAAGAGGACCUCAGAGACCCCUCUGAACAUUGACUACCUUCCAGUGAACCCUUAAAUCUCUCUGGUUCCAGCUGAAGACAAAAAAUAUAGACUGGGACUUUAUAGAAAGCCAUCUACUAAGAAGAUUUCUCUCUAUUCCCAAAAUUGUCCUGGACUUCAACUCUUAGCCAGAUUAUCUUAGGAGAAAGAACAAACGCAACAACUGACCAAAAGGAGGGCCAGGCAGGUCCCACAUUCCUCACCCAACAUCGGCAUUCUCUCUGCCUUGUGAGCCCCAAGAAUAAAGUGUUAUCCCUUUAGACCAGAUCUGCCUACUUUCUAACAUCAAGGAAGGGGGUUGAAGAUUUGGGAGAGUCAUACCUUUCCCCCCAAGGAAGAGAGCUAGCUCUGGCUGAGGAAUAAUUCAGGUCUCAAAAGGGAAGAGUGGCAGUUGGGAUAUUGGGAGAAUCCAGAGGCAGACAGCCAAGAUCAAAAAGAGAGGCAGCGGGUCAUUUCUCCAGGACCUUCUCCUCCAGUCAUUAACCUCCAUAUCCCAAACCUGAUAUCCGAGGAGACAUGUUCUGCCCCUCUGGAAGACAAUUUGUGCUCUCCUUCCCAAGGGGAAGAGAGGGGAGGAUCAAUCUCUCUCCGCUCUCCAUUUCUUUAGCUCUGUCACACCCCUCUCUCUCAUUCCCCAGUGUGAGUGUAUGUGACCUCCUUCUGCUAAUAUAUUACACCAGGAACAGGUAGCCAAACUCCCACUUGGCUCAGACAGGAAGAAGCCACAGGAAGUUGCCCCUCCAAACUCUCCCAAGGACAGGAACCAAUGGCCCUCAACUGUCUCAGUGUGUCUUUUAUAUCUUCCUUACACUUUAGAAUAAGGUCCUCACAGUUCCAUGGCAUGCAGCAAGUCCUCUUUGCAAACUCUCUUGUCUACUCUCUGUUUGCAAAGCUUUUCUUUUCUUUUCCUCAUUACAAGACCAAGUACAAGUUAGAAAAAUAAUUUUUUCCUCUAGUAAUAAACAAGCAUUAUAAGAAAGUAGGAAUUGUGGAAUAAAUUAUUGGAUGAGUAAAAGGCUAAAAUGAGAGGAAACCAACAGCCAUGAUGGGAAACCCUGCUUUCUGAUUUAAUAUCACAGAAAGAUUUUUAAUGUCUUUUUAUUGGCAGGUUCCCUUCCUCUGCCCCUAAUCUAGUAUCCUGACUUCUGCUAUGGGUACUGCUAAGUCAUAUCUCCAUUUCUAUUUUAGAUUGGUCAGUUGUGUACUUAAAUGAUGCUGGAGAAAUAAUGAAAACCUUCCCAGUGAGAAUCUAUUCAUUAAAAACUUCCCAGGUCCCAGGCCAAGGUAUUUUCCUUAUGCUUCCCAUGUUAAAGAGGCAGAAUGACAGUCCAAGUGGAAAUUAGUACAUCGAUUUGAUUGAACACUCAUUCCAUGUAAUACCAUGUUGAAUGUGAGGUAUCAAGAUAGGAAACUAGUCUUAUCUUGCAGGUGCUUUCAGGGGUUUCAGAUAAAUACAUAAAAAUACAAAUUACAGAGAUAUAAUCUCUAAAUACUAGUUACUUCACUAAAACUCUCAAGCAGAAGAUUCUUUGCAUAUUUCCUUUCCCCUAAGUGUAUUCUCAUGUUCAUAGAUCAUUAGCUUCUUGGUAAGUAGGGGAAAAUAGAAAAACAUAUACAAGGCUUUUUUUAAAAAAUUGGAUUGAAUUAUAAGCCAUUCACCAUUGAAGAACAAGCAUAAAUUAAGUUAGAGUAGGUCUGAAUUGUCUGUGAAAAUGAGAUUUGAUUUAUAAAAAUUCUGUUUAUUCAUAGGAAAAUAAAGCAAAGUCUACAUGAAUAACUUUAGAAAGAAGUAAUUUAGGCUAUGGGGAGGAUAAAAGAGAAGGAAAUAUUCUAGUUAUCUGAGGAAUUCCUGUAGCUUCCAUGGAGCUUAUGUAGGUUUUCACAUAGAAUCAUAGAUAAUCCAGGUUGACCUGAUCUUCCUGAUGUCAUCUUAUCACUGCCCCUCUCUUCCCCUCCCUGUGAGGUUAAGAGUGGGUAAGAAGUUUCUCACUAACAACAUUACCUUCAUAUU
Molecule: non-coding RNA, 17984 nt
Organism: Monodelphis domestica (gray short-tailed opossum)
Lineage: Eukaryota; Metazoa; Chordata; Mammalia; Didelphimorphia; Didelphidae
Source: RefSeq, a predicted model, not a curated record